CCUCCUCAAGUCGGCCUCUCCGGACCCACCUGCAGCGUCCCGGCGUCCUCUCCGGGCCCAGCUCUUCCUCCCGGCUGCGUCUCCAGGCCCGACUCCGGCCUCCCAACAAGGUCUUUGGACUCAGCUCCCGCCCAGCUUCCAGCGGCCCUGGUAGGCCCACAACUUCCUGAAGCCAAGCUCCCCAGGCCCAGCUCCGGCCUCACGGUGGCCUCUCCAGGCUCAGCUCCUGCCCUCCGACGGCGUCUCCAGGCCCCAAACGGCCUCCGGUCGGUGGGCUCCUCUAGGCCCAGCUUGGGCCUCCCGGCAGCCUCUGCAGGCCCAAAUCGUCCUGAAGUCGGCCUCUCCAGGCCCAGCUCCAGCCUCCCGGUGGCCUCUGCAGGCCCAAGUCAUCCUCAGGUCAGCCUGGAAGUGGGCCUGGAAGAGCUGCAAGUCGGCCUCCCCGGGCCCAGCUCCGUCCUCUCGGCGGCCUCUCCAGGUGCAAAACUUCCUCGAGUCAGCCUCUCCAGGCCCAGCUCCUCCUGCCUCCCAGUGGCCUCUUUCGGCCCAGCCCAGCUCAUGGCUCUCGGCGGUCUUCCCAGGCCCCGCUUUUGACUUUUGGUGGCCUCUUCAGGCCCAGAACUUGACCUCCAGUCGGCCUUGGCAGGCCCGGCCUCCUGCCUCUCGAAGGUCUGCAUGGGCCCGGCCU
RNAcentral lists this long non-coding RNA (685 nucleotides) under Homo sapiens (human). RNAcentral's name for it is "non-protein coding lnc-COBL-4:1". Lineage: Eukaryota; Metazoa; Chordata; Mammalia; Primates; Hominidae. The record is from RNAcentral.